RNAcentral lists this ribosomal RNA (403 nucleotides) under uncultured bacterium. Its description in RNAcentral is "bacterial SSU rRNA". It matches the Rfam family "Bacterial small subunit ribosomal RNA", at positions 355 to 774 of the family's 1533-position model. The record is from RNAcentral.
UAGGGAAUAUUGCAAAAUGGGCGAAAGCCCGAUGCAGCAACGCCGCGUGGGCGAUGAAGGCCUUCGGGUCGUAAAGCCCUUUUUGAGGGGAUGAGGAAGGACAGUACCCUCAGAAUAAGCCUCGGCUAACUACGUGCCAGCAGCCGCGGUAAAACGUAGGAGGCGAGCGUUAUCCGGAUUUACUGGGCGUAAAGCGCGUGCAGGCGGAUUGGAGAGUUGGAUGUGAAAGCUCCCGGCUUAACUGGGAGAGGUCGUUCAAUACUUCCAGUCUUGAGUGGAGUAGAGGGAAGUGGAAUUCCGGGUGUAGUUGUGAAAUGCGUAGAUAUCCGGAGGAACACCAGUGGCGAAAGCGGCUUCCUGGACUGUAACUGACGCUCAGACGCGAAAGCUAGGGUAGCAAACG